GUGAAUCUUACACACCUUUGACACAAAUACACAAUGUAAAGCAUAAAAAAACAAACAUAUACACAAAAAGACCAAGCGAUGUCUACUUUUUGCCUUGGUCCAAUCUCUCAACUAUUUUCACUUUUUCUCCAAGGUUAUUGCUCUGCACUUCCUCACAGUCCCCUCCACAUCACCACCGCUUUUCCUCUCUUCCAGACACCCCGGGCUCUGACUGAGCACUGCACUAUGGCACACCAUCGCACGGUACAGUGAGCACACAGCAGCACCGCUGUGACAGUGUCCAGCAGACACGUGAGCAGGGGCUACAGAAAUGCUUCUCUAAGUAAGCAAGCCUAUAUCCACAAAAGUAUUUUUGGAGCACUGUUCAUAAUACAAGCUUGGUGAUACCUGAAGAAACCAAAAAGAUCUGUUUUACUUGGUAAGUACCAAGUUGCACCCUGCUCAGCAUAAUUCAGCUCCAACUACCUAGGGACCUCAGUCAACGCAAACACAAAGCAGGGAGCAAUAAUCCCCACUCCUAGAUAAUAAUAAUCCCCACUCCCAGAUCAUAAGAAAUCUAACACUCCUUAUGUUAUAUUCAGGAAGAAUAGGCAUCAGAACUGGAAUACCAAAUUGGAAUACCAGACACCCACAACUUAGCAGUGGAAAGGUUUACUUUUUUUGCUCACAGUUUCAGUCCAUGGUCAUUUGGCUCCAAGCCAGUAAUAGGAUGGCAGAAGGGCAUGGGAGAUGAAAACGUGCUCAACCUCUGGCAGCCAGAAAGCAGAGAGAGAGAAGGGAGGAGCAAGGACAAGAAUACACCCUUCCAGGUCAUAUGCCAGUGACCCACCUCCACUCAAGCCCCACGUCCUAACAGCAAAUCGGCCAUUGCACCUUCCUGAAUUAAUCGUUUUUCAAACACACAACAAUUUUAGGAGACAUUUUAGAUCUAAACAGAUUCCAAAGGCACAUCUGGACAGCUUCAACACUUGGUUCUUUGCCCAUUAAUGUUAUCCGACUUUUUCAUAUGUGUGAUGCUGGGGAUAAAACCUAGGGCCUUGUGUGCACUCUACCACUGCUACUCCUCCAAGUCCCGACUUCUUAACUAAACACAGAUUUGGGGACAGUCAUUAGAACUGGCUUUUUUGCCCAAGGGCCAUUUCAUAGUCCUGGUGGAAAUGGAAAUUUUACACCCUGGUUCACAUUGGGAAGUUUACUAAAGAUAUGGCUUACAUAGAAAGCAUCUUGGGGCCUUGGAAGGUGGCAAGGCCAUGGAGUCACAGGCAACUGAAAUGGAACAUUUUGUACUCUGCUCCCCUGCUGGUUGAUGACCACAUUCAAUGUGCUCUACUCUCCUUGCUCCAUAGCAAGCCAAAUCAAUCAAUCAGCUAACAAUAGCAAAUCAACUCCAAAGAAUACGGAACAACAGCAAUAAAUGGGCACACUGUACUUCCCUUGACCUUUAAGCUGAUUGUAGGCCUGACUAUCUUCCAAUUUGGAAGUGAAAUGAAACAGCGGUUGAGGGCAUUUGAGUGUGGAAGAGAGGCUUGGGCUGAGCCAGCCAGGCGGCAAUAAUUGCUCAAGCUGUUUAUUUAUGACAGACACUGGGGCUGCCAAUGUAAGGUAUUCUUUCUACUCUGCACUAGGCACUUGUACGUAAUACCUCAUUUAAGCUUCAUAGCUCCAUUCAUUUAUUCAUUCAUUCACUCACUCACUCAUUCAAAUAUUCAUCAAAUUUUUAUUGAAUGUUCACUUUGAGUUAGGCACUGUUUUAGGGGGUGAAUCAGGCCAAGCAGAUCUUUGUCCUCACAGAGCUUACACUCCAGUGGGAAAGUCAAAUAACUGCUAAGGAAACAAAGGACAGGUGUACAGUCACUCCUCAGCAGUACCCAGAGCUCAGGACCUAGAGGGCUCAAGGACACCACAUUUUAAAGAGGCUGGGAACCAUUACAUUACCAUUGGUGCCUGGUUCCCAUCAUCUCAUCCAAAAGCAAAAAAGUCUGAAUCUCUGGAAAUGAAGCACUAGAAUUUCAACUUAAAACUUUGAAAAUAAUUGUGACUUUAUGGAAAAGUUGUGGUACGGUAACUGCACCAAGAACUGCUAGAUUUGCCAAUUUUUAUAUUUCACAUUUGCAUUUUAUUCUGUGUGUAUGCACAUAAGUGUAUUGCAUAUUUUUUGUGAGUCAUCUAAGACUGAGACACAUAUCAUGUCCCUUGGCUUAUGUCUUAAGAACAAGGUGAUUUCUUAUCAAACCUGAGUACAUUGAUCAAAAUCAGGACAUUUAGAAGAGCAGAGAACAGAUCAAGAGGAUGAAGAAGUCGAGCCAUAAAAGACUCACUAGUUCUCUCACUGUUCCCAUAUGGUGAGCAUUAAACUGGAUCAGAGAUUGAGAUGCUUUAAUUAUAUUGGACUUUAUGAAAUCAGAGCUUACAGAAAACAUAUGGAAUGUACCCAAUAUGCCUUUAAGGGACUGAAAAGAGAUUCAUAGAGCAGGGCUGAAGGCAGUUUCUGCAGAGAAAAUAAAAUUUUUGUUUGGACCACCCCAUAUUGAGGCUUCUCAGUAAACUGGUUCCCUGUCCCUUUAGACAGCACAGCUAGGGAUGCCCUCUCUAAGGAGAUGAUGACACACUUCUAAAGGAUGAAACAGAGGGGUCACAGAAGAGCUGAGAAAGGUGAUGUGACAGAAGGGAAGAGAAACUAUGGAAGCCUGAGGUGAGGAUUCUUAUGUGUCUCAUCUCAAGAAGAGAAAGAGGCUUGGGGUGGUGAGGACUGCAGCCUACUGAGGGGAAGUGGGUCCAGGACAGGCUGAGUGGUGAGAGGAUGCAUAGAAAUACUUUGUAAGUUUUCAUAAUUAUAAAGUACUAUGUGUUUAUUUAAAAAUUCCAACAGGACACUCACUCCCAUCUAGUCCAAAUUCCCAAAGGUAACUAUCAUCAAUUUUCUUCCAGACUGUUUCGAUAUCACAAUUUCCACGUAUAUAUUUUUAAAUAUGGAUAAAACAUAGCUCUGCAAUUUUAUAUUUUUGACUUGAAAAUACAUCAUGAAUCUCCUUCCACAUUAUGGUUAACUAAAUGAUGCUAAAUCUACACCACACAGCUGUUAAAUAUCAUGACGCUGCUGUCUCAUUACUAACUAGAAUGAUAUUCAGAGAAUUUUAAAGCCAAAGGAACAGUGAGUAUAUAACAGAAUAUACACGUAACUCCAAUUUUAAUAAAAUAUGAAUAUAUA
Molecule: long non-coding RNA, 3208 nt
Organism: Chinchilla lanigera (long-tailed chinchilla)
Lineage: Eukaryota; Metazoa; Chordata; Mammalia; Rodentia; Chinchillidae
Exons: 3
Source: RefSeq, a predicted model, not a curated record